AAAUUAAAUAUCAUUUACCCAAUUUUGAAUACUCUUCUAACCUUUCUUCUUCUUUGUUGUGACUUCAUCAGGUGAUUUAUGCGAGAGACAAACCUCAAAUGUUGAUGUUGUUUUGGAACAUCACCACGUUCGAUCAACUGAAAAGGGAGUUGGUUCGUUGGUUAGAUGGGAAAAUACCAGAAGGGGGAAAAAUCAGAAGUAUUGAGAGACUUGACAGUUUCUUUGGUUGGAUGCGAAUGAAGACUGAUAAGGAUGCUAGGGAAAUGAUGUUCGGUCGAGACGACAUCAAUUUGAUUGUUGUAAUCAGUUAGAAAUAUUUAUGUUUUCAGAUGUUUGUUGUGAACCUCGUUGUAACAAGAACUUAAUGAUAUAUAAUGAUUGAAUGUUACAGAAAUACAAUGUUACAAAAAGCUUAAGACCUAGAUGAUGCUCCUCGAUUGGGACAGUUGUUCUUGUUGUGUCCUGAUGGACGACAAAUACUACAUAAUCUUAUCAUUUUAUCUGUGGAAUCCAUCUCUGUUCUGAUA
This is a long non-coding RNA of Lathyrus oleraceus (garden pea), 527 nucleotides long. RefSeq lists it as uncharacterized. The transcript has 2 exons. The record is from RefSeq and is a predicted model, not a curated record. Lineage: Eukaryota; Viridiplantae; Streptophyta; Magnoliopsida; Fabales; Fabaceae.